This 388-nucleotide long non-coding RNA is filed under the name Capsicum annuum. RNAcentral's name for it is "long non-coding RNA (CANN_LNC010269)". Lineage: Eukaryota; Viridiplantae; Streptophyta; Magnoliopsida; Solanales; Solanaceae. The record is from RNAcentral.
AACCUAUAACCCCAGUUGGUAGGGUGUUAAUACCGUGCCAUGGGUACUAACAAUGGCUAUGUGGAUCCACUAAAUUGAUAUAAUAUCCAAAGGACUAAGGGUGUCAAGCCUGAACUGAUGGGUGACCCCUGCGAGAUAGUCAAGCCUACUCUGACGGGUGACUACUCAUAUCCUAUGCUAGCUACAUACUUCUAGAGUAUAGGGAUUGCUAUUAAUAACUCUGCCUCACUGAAGGGGAAGCCUCCAUCCUCACACUCACUCGGUGCUAAAUCCUAUUCCCAACUGAAAGACGUUGGGAUACUAGACUAUUCUGAGUUGAAUAACUGAUAUCUGACUAUUCUGAUAAUGCUCAUAAUAUAACCUGAAGAAUAUUCUGUGAUGUACUAAG